CCUACGGGAGGCAGCAGUAAGGAAUGUUGGUCAAUGGACGCAAGUCUGAACCAGCCAUGCCGCGUGAAGGAUUAAGGUCCUCUGGAUUGUAAACUUCUUUUAUCUGGGACGAAAAAAGGCGAUUCUUCGUCACUUGACGGUACCAGAUGAAUAAGCACCGGCUAACUCCGUGCCAGCAGCCGCGGUAAUACGGAGGGUGCAAGCGUUAUCCGGAUUCACUGGGUUUAAAGGGUGCGUAGGCGGGCAGGUAAGUCAGUGGUGAAAUCCUAGAGCUUAACUCUAGAACUGCCAUUGAUACUAUCUGUCUUGAAUAUUGUGGAGGUAAGCGGAAUAUGUCAUGUAGCGGUGAAAUGCUUAGAUAUGACAUAGAACACCUAUUGCGAAGGCAGCUUACUACGCAUAUAUUGACGCUGAGGCACGAAAGCGUGGGGAUCAAACAGGAUUAGAUACCCUGGUAGUCCACGCCCUAAACGAUGAUUACUCGACAUUUGUGAUACACUAUAAGUGUCUGAGNGAAGACGAUUAAGUUAAGUACCUACCGUUACGGAAGGUAACGUUAACCGACCGAAGGUUAGGUUAACGUUACGAAGUUAGAGUUAGACGGACGUUGAGACGUUAGCCGACGGACGACGACGAGGGGAAGGUAAGGAG
This 651-nucleotide ribosomal RNA is filed under the name uncultured bacterium. RNAcentral describes it as "bacterial SSU rRNA". The stretch from base 1 to 536 matches the Rfam family "Bacterial small subunit ribosomal RNA", at positions 338 to 873 of the family's 1533-position model. The record is from RNAcentral.